RNAcentral lists this long non-coding RNA (489 nucleotides) under Dermacentor andersoni. Its description in RNAcentral is "uncharacterized LOC126530438". Lineage: Eukaryota; Metazoa; Arthropoda; Arachnida; Ixodida; Ixodidae. The record is from RNAcentral.
CAGAAGCUCACAGAGGUGAAGGAGCACCUUCAUUGUGAGGACUUGGACUGCGUCUUCAAUAAGAUUUGUGAACACAGCCAUGAGACUCGCCAAGCACAGUCGAACGCCUUCCUCUCGGACGACGUCAAGGCCCAGGUUCGUGCUGCUCUGACGACGUGCCAGUCAAGCCACUGAUACUCCUCUUCAAUAAUUGAUCGCUGUGGCACAUCGCGAUAAACAUUAGAACCAUGUAUCCGUAGUAAACAUUUACUGCAUGUGUCAGAUCCAUUUCUAAACAUGUUCUUGCUUAAUGAAUAUAGAUAAAUGGGAAAGUACGCUACAUUGUAGCCGGCUAUAGAUGCAGGUAAAAAAUUGAAGUUCCCACUUUCUCGGCAAAAACCACGUACAUACGACCGACACGCAAACUACUAUAACUUUCAAAAACAAAAACAAAAAAAGAACAAAGCAUUCUAAAUGUCAAUAAACAGGAACGAUGGAACUAACAAGCUU